Poecilia latipinna (sailfin molly) is the source of this 1552-nucleotide long non-coding RNA. RefSeq lists it as uncharacterized. Lineage: Eukaryota; Metazoa; Chordata; Actinopteri; Cyprinodontiformes; Poeciliidae. The transcript has 2 exons. The record is from RefSeq and is a predicted model, not a curated record.
UAAUGGGCAAAAAGGGAAAGUCAACCAAACAGCUUGAUGCAUGUAAGCACUGAACACAUUGUGGUUGUAGAGUUUUAAUUAUACAAAAACCACAAUUUGAACACUGACAUAUUUUUACACUUGGAUACACUGACCAGAGACUGAAGGCUGAACGAGUCUCACACAGACAGAAGGAGAUGUGCAGGAGUUUAAAGUUUUGUAUUCGAUGUUGGCUGUAAGGUCAAUACACGCGAGCAACACGGACAUUGGCAGAGCAACUGUAGCGCUGGUUCAACAUGGAAGGAGUAACAAUAAACAACAGGCAAUAGCAGCAAUUGUACAGUGCCUUGUACAGGUAUUCAUACCGCUUUCACAUUUUGUCACAUUAUAAUCACGAACUUGAAUAUGUUUUAUUGGGAUUUUACAUGAUAGAACAACACAGAAUAGUGCAUAAAUAUGAAAUGGAAGAAAAUGCUGCGUUUGUAUUCAGCCCUGCUCUGUCACAACCUCACAGAACGUUCUUCCAUGAUGACAACCGAAAACAUCCAGCCAGAACUACAACGGGACAGUUCAGGUCGCAGCACAGUCAUUGGUUUAAAUGGCCCAGUCAAAGUCCAGACCUACAUUCAAUAGAAAAUCUGUAGCAAGACUUAAAGAUUGCUUCACAGAUGUCCUCUUUCCAAUCUGACUGAGCUUCAGCUGCAGUAUUUUGCCAGAUGUUUUUGCUCAUCUACAGGUGGACUCGAGCUGCAGAGCAUUCUUACUCCAGACGGUUUGACAACAAUGUCGGCCCAGCCAUCAAAGUGAUUUCAGCUUCAGCUCCUCCGGGACGGUUUUCCUCAAGGUACAGGAGUGUGUUGACGGGAAUUUUUGACCGUUCUUUCAUAACAGCAUCGAAGAGGACGGGACAGGCCAGACUGCACAGAACAAUCAGGGCUGAGCUUCCCUCUGUCCUCGACUUGAACAGAUCUAAUAAUAAUAGCUUUUAUUCAUAAUGCCCUCUAUAUCUUGAGAUCUCCAGUGGGUAAAAACUAGGGUAAGGAAAUGGUUAAGUAACAUCUCAGAAGACUUCACAAUAUUGGACACAAAAUGUUCAGACAUCCACCUUCAGGUGGCGCUAUAGAGAGCUAUUUGCAAAAAGCAGCCGUCAUAGUCUGUAUGUAUACAUAGUUAUAUAUAAAUACAUAUGACAUUGAACAUCUUAAGCUGUAACCUGUAUUUCACUUUUAGAGCUUUUGCAGGCGUCAUUUGCUCAUUUUGAAUCUGAUAAAAUCAACUGUGCCCAUGGCGUUCCACAAGGCUCAAUGCUUGAUCCUCUUCAGUUUGAUUCCGGUACCUCACUGCUGUCAUUAGACAACACAACAUACAGAAAGUCACCACCUCUUUGCUGAUGAUAUAAAGUGAAACCUUUCAGUUUCCUCCAUCAAACUUAGCCUUUUGAAUAAUGUCUUUUCGUGCUUCACCGAUGUUAAAUGCUGUCUGUGUAGAAUUUCUUGAAUGCCAAAUAAAUACGUGAUUAAUUCUCUUGGAAGAUGCCAAUGGACAGUAAAAUUAAAUGAAACCUUUCACUAUU